GAUGAACGCUGACGGCGUGCUUAACACAUGCAAGUCGAACGGUGAAGCCAAGCUUGCUUGGUGGAUCAGUGGCGAACGGGUGAGUAACACGUGAGCAACCUGCCCUGGACUCUGGGAUAAGCGCUGGAAACGGCGUCUAAUACUGGAUAUGAGCCUCUUCCGCAUGGUGGGGGUUGGAAAGAUUUUUUGGUCUGGGAUGGGCUCGCGGCCUAUCAGCUUGUUGGUGAGGUAAUGGCUCACCAAGGCGUCGACGGGUAGCCGGCCUGAGAGGGUGACCGGCCACACUGGGACUGAGACACGGCCCAGACUCCUACGGGGGGCAGCAGUGGGGAAUAUUGCACAAUGGGCGAAAGCCUGAUGCAGCAACGCCGCGUGAGGGAUGACGGCCUUCGGGUUGCAAACCUCUUUUAGCAGGGAAGAAGCGAAAGUGACGGUACCUGCAGAAAAAGCGCCGGCUAACUACGUG
Molecule: ribosomal RNA, 466 nt
Filed under: uncultured bacterium
Lineage: Bacteria
Description: partial 16S ribosomal RNA
Rfam family: Bacterial small subunit ribosomal RNA
Source: RNAcentral